This 332-nucleotide ribosomal RNA is filed under the name uncultured bacterium. RNAcentral's name for it is "bacterial SSU rRNA". It matches the Rfam family "Bacterial small subunit ribosomal RNA", at positions 568 to 899 of the family's 1533-position model. The record is from RNAcentral.
UGUGUAGGCGGCUUUUUAAGUUUGGUGUGAAAUCUCCCGGCUCAACUGGGAGGGUGCGCCGAAUACUGAAAGGCUUCGAGUGCGGGAGAGGAAAGUGGAAUUCCUGGUGUAGCGGUGAAAUGCGUAGAUAUCAGGAGGAACACCGGUGGUGUAGACGGCUUUCUGGACCGUAACUGACGCUGAGACACGAAAGCGUGGGUAGCAAACAGGAUUAGAUACCCUGGUAGUCCACGCCCUAAACGAUGCAUAUUUGGUGUGGGUCAUUCAGUUGAUCCGUGCCGGAGCUAACGCGUUAAAUAUGCCGCCUGGGGAGUACAGUCGCAAGGCUAGAA